GCCAGGCACAGUGGUGUAUGCCUGUAAUCCCAGCGGCUCGGAGGCUGAUACAGGAGAAUCCUGAGUUCAAACCCAGCCUCAGCAAUGGAAAGGCGCUAAGCAACUCAGUGAGAACCUGUCUCUA
RNAcentral lists this small RNA (124 nucleotides) under Marmota monax (woodchuck). Lineage: Eukaryota; Metazoa; Chordata; Mammalia; Rodentia; Sciuridae. The record is from RNAcentral.